Pygocentrus nattereri (red-bellied piranha) is the source of this 3496-nucleotide long non-coding RNA. Lineage: Eukaryota; Metazoa; Chordata; Actinopteri; Characiformes; Serrasalmidae. The record is from Ensembl.
CAUCUAUACACAGAAAUAAUUUUUUUAUAUAGUUUUUUUUUUUUUUUAAAGAACUUUAUAUUUGAAGAGGUGCGGCACGGUGGUGCGGUGGGUGGCGCUGUCACCUCACAGCAAGGAGGGCUCGAUUCUCUGGCUGAGUGACCGGGGUCCUCUAUGUGUGGAGUUUGCAUGUUCUCCCCAUGUCUUCGUGGGGUUCUUCCGGGUUCUCCGGUUUCCUCCCAGAGUCCAAAGACACUUUCAUCUGGAUUCAGAAAUUCCAGAAAUUCCACAAAAAAUCCCUUCUCGUCUGAGCGCACAAGAUGGCAGACAGCAAAGUCUUCCAGCUUUCUGCCUCCAGUGAAAGGUGGGAAAUCACCAAAUCAGCCCAUGAAAGCGUGAACCAGCAUUGGAAACAGUGACGAAACCAAGUUCUGACUGGUGCCCACACACUGUGAUGGAGAGAAGAUCGUGAUGUAUGUAAGUUUACAGUUUGUCACAUUUCAGCUGAGUAGGAAUUGGCUCUGAAGGUCCUCACUAAAAGUUGUUACAGGCAACCUAUUUUCAGCUGUACAUUAUGUGUGUGUGUGUGUGUGUGUGUGUGUGUGUGUGUGUGUGUGUGUGUGUGUGUAUAUAUAUAUAUAUAUAUCUUAAAAAUAUAUUCUCCAGCAACGCCUUCUCCACAGAACAGACGAGUUGUUGUGUUUGGCAGGAUUUUAUGUAGGAAAAUAUGCAAUUUGUGGAAGGAUUAAGAGGACUCCAACCCUGAGAUGCUCACUAUGUGUCCGUGAAGGAAAAUGAGCUCCUGAAUGCUACUUCUUGUUUUUUCUGAACGUUCUCUAUUAGCUCACAUCCUCUUCUGUCCAGCUUCAUGCAAUCACCACUAGAUGCCAUUAAAGAGCCUACGAAAGAAACACUAUGCUGAAUCCAAUACAGAAGGGGUUUCUGAUGAGCAGAAACUGGUUCUGAAUGGGUUUCUGAUGAGCAGAAACUGGUUCUGAGUGAGUCUCUGUUUACACAGAUGUUUUGAGAAAGUUUAACAGACCUUCAGCAUGACAGCUUCAGAGGAUCCGAAGAGAAGUUGGGUCUCCAGGGCUCGCAUCCGGAGCAGCCUCUCCAAUUUGGGGAAUUUCGCCAGACACAGGUAGGAGAUGUGGUACAGCAGGGAGACCUGCUGAGACGAUGGGAGGAGCUCCUCAAUGAACCCUGAGCUCCAUACAGAGGUGGCUGGCACAACCUCUGUGAUUUCCACAAAAUGAAUGUAAAUAAUUUCACUAUAAAGUUGGUUAAACAAGCAUUAAUUUGUGGUUGGAUACAUCAAAUGACUGGUAUUGUUUUACUUACAACCUGAGGAAGAAGCAGCUUAGAGUGUGUGUGUGUGUGUGUGUGUGUGUGACUUGCCUUUGCUGUUAGCCAUUGUGUUUAAAGUCAGGGGGGUUCUGUGUUUUCCUAAAGAUCAAUAAAAAUAUUUUACAGCAGUGCUUAGAAACGCAUUGUUCACUAAAUAUAAGUUUUGAAAGUGAAUAAAUAAAACAGAGAGGAUCUUACCUGUAGAGCUGUGUGGACUGCGCUUCUUACAGAUGUUCAGUGCAGUUUCGUUUUUAUAUGUAAUGACACCGAAAGAAAGGGCCAGGUAAAGACCAAAAGAUGAGGCUGUCCAAGGGUUUGACAAGAAGCGUGGUCAGUAAACAGGCGUGGUCCAGAUCCAAUCAGCAAAAAGGUACAGAAUGGCAACCGUAACCAGGUGGGGUUAGGAGGGCAAAGACAAAAGGGGAAAACCAGAAAUCCAGAAAAUCAGUCCAAACACGAAAAAGGCAACCACACAAACGCACACUGGAGAAGUUUGCCCUGAACGAGGACUUGAUGACUGCAGUAGUUCUACAAGAGAAGCAGUACUUCAGGAGUGCUGAUUGGAGAACGAGGGGAGAGCAGGUGACCUCUCAGAGGAUUCUAGCUGGAGGGAUGUGUAACAUUAUACUUUAAAUGGCCCACCUGAUUUGAGAAAUAUGUGAAUAUCCGCACAUGCUUGAGACCAUCUGAACCAAAUAAAUUAAUCUUGGUCUCAUCAGACCAUAGGACGUGGUUCCAGUAAUCCAUGUCCUUUGUUGACGUCUUCAGCAACUGUUUGCGGGCUUUCUUGUGUACGGACUUCAGAAGAGGCUUCCUUCCGGGGUGACAGCCAUGCAGACCAAUUUGAUGUAGUGUGCGGCGUAUGGUCUGAGGACUGACAGGCAGACCCCCCACCUCUUCAAUCUCUGCAUCUAUCUUUCAAAGACAACAUUUGGAUGUGACGCUGAGCACGUGCACUCAGCUUCUUUGGACGACCAACACGAGGUCUGUUCUGAGUGGACCCUGCUCUUUUAAAUCGCUGGAUGAUCUUGGCCACUCUGCUGCAGCUCAGUUUCAGGGUGUUGGCAAUCUUCUUGUAGCCUUGGCCAUCUUCAUGUAGCGCAACAAUUCGUCUUUUAAGAUCCUCAGAGAGUUCUUUGCCACGAGGUGCUAUGCUGGAACUUUCAGUGACCAGUAUGAGAGAGUGUGAGAGCUUUACUACAGAUUUGAACUCACCUGCUCCCUAUGCACACCUGAGACCUACGAGUCACGUGACAUUUUGGAGGGAAAAUGACAAGCAGUGCUCAAUUUGGAUAUUUAGGGGUGUCUGUCUCUUAGGGGUGUACUCACUUUUGUUACUGGUGGUUUAGACAUUAAUGGCUGUAUAUUGAGCUGUCUUGAGGGAAGAAUAAGUUUACACUAUUAUAUAUAAUAUAUAACAUAUAAGCUGCACACAGACAACUUUUCACUGUGUCAAAGUGUCAUUUUGUCAGUGUUGUCCCAUGAAAAGAUAAACUCAAAUAUCUGCAGAAAUGUGAGGGGUGUACUCACUUUUGUGAUACACUGUACACAGAUCAGUCCAAACAAGCAACAGUACAAGAGGGCUAGGCAAGAGUCGAAAACUAGAUAAACAUGGCAAAAGGGUCAAAAGACAGGGAAUGCAAACAGGACAGAAUGUAAACACUCAAUGAUCGCAUAGCAGUACCUCUCAAUGUGCCUAUCUGAAGCCUGGGCUUAAAUACUCUAAACAGACUAAUGAGUACAGGUGUAGUGAGUCAGUAAUCUGGGGACUGAGAUCGCUGAUAGGACCGUUGGGAAAACGUGAUUUUCCAUGGAUUCUUGGGAGUUAGAGUUCUCUAAGAUGGGGUCUGCAGGCACAAGAUCCGUCAUGAACUCCCAGAGCAUUCUGGGAGAUGAAGUCUGUUUCUUUGUCCAAGACGGCCGAAUGCGUGACACCAGCACAGUGUACAGAUUCUCCUCAUUAAAACGGUCAAUUCCCAUAUAGAAGAAUUGGUUCAUAUAGCCUUUGACCAGAUGCUGUGGGAACAAAGUUUAACAGAGCGAGAGAGACCCUCUCACCGUUGUUAUACCCCUUCAACUGAAAUAACCCGUCCCAAUCGGUGACCUGCUUGUGCCUGUUGCCUGUUCCUGUUCAAACCUAUUUAACAAGUAGUCACAUCUGCCAAGUUCA